This 304-nucleotide ribosomal RNA is filed under the name uncultured bacterium. RNAcentral describes it as "bacterial SSU rRNA". It matches the Rfam family "Bacterial small subunit ribosomal RNA", at positions 34 to 335 of the family's 1533-position model. The record is from RNAcentral.
CGCUGGCGGCGCGCUUAACACAUGCAAGUCGUGCGGUGUGGAAGGCAAGUCUUACGACAAGCCUUCGACACAGCGGCGAACGGGUGAGUAACACGUGAGUAGCUGUCCUAAGGAGGGGGAUAACGCCUGGAAACGGGUGCUAAUACCCCAUAUGCCUCGCAAGAGGUGAAAGUGUACUCGUUACAGCCUUAGGGUGUGCUCGCGGCCUAUCAGCUAGUUGGUGAGGUAACGGCUCACCAAGGCUAAGACGGGUAGCCGGCCUGAGAGGGUGUACGGCCACACUGGAAUUGAGAUACGGUCCAGA